Molecule: ribosomal RNA, 402 nt
Filed under: uncultured Roseomonas sp.
Lineage: Bacteria; Pseudomonadati; Pseudomonadota; Alphaproteobacteria; Acetobacterales; Roseomonadaceae
Description: partial 16S ribosomal RNA
Rfam family: Bacterial small subunit ribosomal RNA
Source: RNAcentral
UGGGGAAUAUUGGACAAUGGGCGCAAGCCUGAUCCAGCAAUGCCGCGUGGGUGAAGAAGGUCUUCGGAUUGUAAAGCCCUUUCGGCGGGGACGAUGAUGACGGUACCCGCAGAAGAAGCCCCGGCUAACUUCGUGCCAGCAGCCGCGGUAAUACGAAGGGGGCUAGCGUUGCUCGGAAUUACUGGGCGUAAAGGGCGCGUAGGCGGUUCUGUUAGUCAGGCGUGAAAUUCCUGGGCUCAACCUGGGGGCUGCGCUUGAUACGGCAGGACUAGAGGAUGGAAGAGGCUCGUGGAAUUCCCAGUGUAGAGGUGAAAUUCGUAGAUAUUGGGAAGAACACCGGUGGCGAAGGCGGCGAGCUGGUCCAUUACUGACGCUGAGGCGCGACAGCGUGGGGAGCAAACA